RNAcentral lists this ribosomal RNA (905 nucleotides) under uncultured bacterium. RNAcentral describes it as "bacterial SSU rRNA". It matches the Rfam family "Bacterial small subunit ribosomal RNA", at positions 1 to 848 of the family's 1533-position model. The record is from RNAcentral.
AAGGGUAUUAAAUGGUUUCCGCGGGUAAGGCGGAUAACUCGGUCGCGCGGAUCUUCCCAGAAGAGUUUGAUCCUGGCUCAGGAUGGAAUCCUACAGGCUUAACACAUGCAAGUCGAGGGGAAACGGAUGGGUGCUUGCACUGAAUGGACGUCGACCGGCGCACGGGUGAGUAACGCGUAUCCAACCUUCCCAUAACUAAGGGAUAACCUGCCGAAAGGCAGACUAAUACCUUAUGUAAUUCUUGGAUGACAUCAGAAGAGAGUGAAAGAUUUAUCGGUUAUGGAUGGGGAUGUGUCUGAUUAGCUUGUUGGCGGGGUAACAGCCCACCAAGGCGACGAUCAGUAGGGGUUCUGAGAGGAAGGUCCCCCACAUUGGAACUGAGACACGGUCCAAACUCCUACGGGAGGCAGCAGUGAGGAAUAUUGGUCAAUGGGCGAGAGCCUGAACCAGCCAAGUAGCGUGCAGGAUGACGGCCCUAUGGGUUGUAAACUGCUUUUGUAUGGGGAUAAAGUCAAUCACGUGUGGUUGUUUGCAGGUACCAUACGAAUAAGGACCGGCUAAUUCCGUGCCAGCAGCCGCGGUAAUACGGAAGGUUCGGGCGUUAUCCGGAUUUAUUGGGUUUAAAGGGAGCGUAGGCCGGAGAUUAAGUGUGUUGUGAAAUGUAGACGCUCAACGUCUGACUUGCAGCGCAUACUGGUUUCCUUGAGUACGCACAACGUUGGCGGAAUUCGUCGUGUAGCGGUGAAAUGCUUAGAUAUGACGAAGAACUCCGAUUGCGAAGGCAGCUGACGGGAGCGCCACUGACGCUUAAGCUCGAAGGUGCGGGUAUCAAACAGGAUUAGAUACCCUGGUAGUCCGCACAGUAAACGAUGGAUGCCCGCUGUUGGUACCUGGUAUCAGCGGCU